Molecule: ribosomal RNA, 467 nt
Filed under: uncultured bacterium
Lineage: Bacteria
Description: partial 16S ribosomal RNA
Rfam family: Bacterial small subunit ribosomal RNA
Source: RNAcentral
GACGAACGCUGGCGGUGUGCUUAACACAUGCAAGUCGAACGGAAAGGCCUAGCUUGCUGGGUACUCGAGUGGCGAACGGGUGAGUAACACGUGGGUGAUCUGCCCCUGACUUUGGGAUAAGCCUGGGAAACUGGGUCUAAUGCCGGAUAUUCAUUUUUCCUCGCAUGGGGAUUUGUGGAAAGCUUUUGCGGUUGGGGAUGGGCCCGCGGCCUAUCAGCUUGUUGGUGGGGUAAUGGCCUACCAAGGCGACGACGGGUAGCCGACCUGAGAGGGUGAUCGGCCACACUGGGACUGAGACACGGCCCAGACUCCUACGGGAGGCAGCAGUGGGGAAUAUUGCACAAUGGGCGCAAGCCUGAUGCAGCGACGCCGCGUGAGGGAUGACGGCCUUCGGGUUGUAAACCUCUUUCAGCUCCGACGAAGCGCAAGUGACGGUAGGAGCAGAAGAAGCACCGGCCAACUACGUG